This 253-nucleotide ribosomal RNA is filed under the name uncultured bacterium. RNAcentral describes it as "partial 16S ribosomal RNA". It matches the Rfam family "Bacterial small subunit ribosomal RNA", at positions 524 to 776 of the family's 1533-position model. The record is from RNAcentral.
UACGGAGGGUGCGAGCGUUAAUCGGAAUUACUGGGCGUAAAGCGCAUGCAGGUGGUUUGUUAAGUCAGAUGUGAAAGCCCGGGGCUCAACCUCGGAGUUGCAUUUGAAACUGGCAGGCUAGAGUACUGUAGAGGGGGGUAGAAUUUCAGGUGUAGCGGUGAAAUGCGUAGAGAUCUGAAGGAAUACCAGUGGCGAAGGCGGCCCCCUGGACAGAUACUGACACUCAGAUGCGAAAGCGUGGGGAGCAAACAGG